GUCGAGAAUCUUUCACAAUGGGGGCAACCCUGAUGGAGCGACGCCGCGUGGAGGAUAAGGUCUUCGGAUUGUAAACUCCUGUCAUGCGUGAACAAGGUUGCUUGGUUAAUACCUGGGCAAAUUGAUGGUAACGCAAGAGGAAGAGACGGCUAACUCUGUGCCAGCAGCCGCGGUAAUACAGAGGUCUCAAGCGUUGUUCGGAAUCACUGGGCGUAAAGGGUGCGUAGUUGGCGUGGUAAGUCAGAUGUGAAAGCCCGGGGCUCAACCUCGGAACUGCAUCCGAUACUGCCAUGCUAGAGUACUGGAGAGGUGACUAGAAUUCUCGGUGUAGCAGUGAAAUGCGUAGAUAUCGAGAGGAAUACCAAAGGCGUAGGCAGGUCACUGGACAGUUACUGACACUGAGGCACGAAGGCCAGGGGAGCGAACGGGAUUAGAAACCCCGGUAGUCC
Molecule: ribosomal RNA, 449 nt
Filed under: uncultured bacterium
Lineage: Bacteria
Description: partial 16S ribosomal RNA
Rfam family: Bacterial small subunit ribosomal RNA
Source: RNAcentral